UGGACGAAAGUCUGAUGGAGCAACGCCGCGUGAGUGAAGAAGGGUUUCGGCUCGUAAAACUCUGUUGUUAAAGAAGAACAUAUCUGAGAGUAACUGUUCAGGUAUUGACGGUAUUUAACCAGAAAGCCACGGCUAACUACGUGCCAGCAGCCGCGGUAAUACGUAGGUGGCAAGCGUUGUCCGGAUUUAUUGGGCGUAAAGCGAGCGCAGGCGGUUUUUUAAGUCUGAUGUGAAAGCCUUCGGCUCAACCGAAGAAGUGCAUCGGAAACUGGGAAACUUGAGUGCAGAAGAGGACAGUGGAACUCCAUGUGUAGCGGUGAAAUGCGUAGAUAUAUGGAAGAACACCAGUGGCGAAGGCGGCUGUCUGGUCUGUAACUGACGCUGAGGCUCGAAAGUAUGGGUAGCAAACAGGAUUAGAUACCCUGGUAGUCCAUACCGUAAACGAUGAAUGCUAAGUGUUGGAGGGUUUCCGCCCUUCAGUGCUGCAGCUAACGCAUUAAGCAUUCCGCCUGGGGAGUACGGCCGCAAGGCUGAAACUCAAAGGAAUUGACGGGGGCCCGCACAAGCGGUGGAGCAUGUGGUUUAAUUCCAAGCUACGCG
Molecule: ribosomal RNA, 600 nt
Filed under: Lactiplantibacillus plantarum
Lineage: Bacteria; Bacillati; Bacillota; Bacilli; Lactobacillales; Lactobacillaceae
Description: bacterial SSU rRNA
Rfam family: Bacterial small subunit ribosomal RNA
Source: RNAcentral